RNAcentral lists this long non-coding RNA (583 nucleotides) under Mus spicilegus (steppe mouse). The record is from RNAcentral. Lineage: Eukaryota; Metazoa; Chordata; Mammalia; Rodentia; Muridae.
CAUGGACUAUCCUCAGGAAAAUGAGAUCCAGGAAGAGUGACGCCCUCCUCGAACUGAAAGAUACUCAGGCUGAUGGAGUCAGGGAUGAAGUGGUUUAUCAACAGCACAGGAUGUCUGCAGGGAACAGAACUUAUUCAGACAUGGCCCAGAUUGUCUGCCCGUGGGGACUGAGGGACCUCUGAGGGUUACAUCAGGAAGGAAGGAGAGGCUGUUUCUACAGGUGCCACAGAAAAAUCGAUGCUGAGCCUCGGAUUAUUGGAUCCCAUAGAACCGUGGAGACUUGGCAGUGAAAUUCUUCCAAAGCAUUCCAUCUGCGCAGGCAGAGGUGUUCCUGGUUUGGAAAGUAUAAAUCCCGUGGGAAGUCAACUGGAGGACAUUUUACGCGUCACUCAUCCUAUUAUGAGCCUGCUGCUCCUCCGUCUCUUGACAAGGCCACCAACUAGAAGGGCACAGAAUUAUUCAUAAAACAGCUGAAUGUGAACGUCUUUGGAUUCCCAUUUAAUGAGGUAAGAUUUUAUCAUGUGCUAUGAAAGUGCAUUGAUAUCUUCCCUGUCCAUCAUGCCUCAUGUGUGUUGUCUGAACU